This 497-nucleotide ribosomal RNA is filed under the name uncultured bacterium. Its description in RNAcentral is "partial 16S ribosomal RNA". It matches the Rfam family "Bacterial small subunit ribosomal RNA", at positions 28 to 507 of the family's 1533-position model. The record is from RNAcentral.
GACGAACGCUGGCGGCGUGCCUAAUACAUGCAAGUUGAGCGCUGAAGGUUGGUACUUGUACCAACUGGAUGAGCAGCGAACGGGUGAGUAACGCGUGGGGAAUCUGCCUUUGAGCGGGGGACAACAUUUGGAAACGAAUGCUAAUACCGCAUAAAAACUUUAAACACAAGUUUUAAGUUUGAAAGAUGCAAUUGCAUCACUCAAAGAUGAUCCCGCGUUGUAUUAGCUAGUUGGUGAGGUAAAGGCUCACCAAGGCGAUGAUACAUAGCCGACCUGAGAGGGUGAUCGGCCACAGUGGGACUGAGACACGGCCCAAACUCCUACGGGAGGCAGCAGUAGGGAAUCUUCGGCAAUGGACGAAAGUCUGACCGAGCAACGCCGCGUGAGUGAAGAAGGGUUUCGGAUCGGAAAACUCUGUUGGUAGAGAAGAACGUUGGUGAGAGUGGAAAGCUCAUCAAGUGACGGUAACUACCCAGAAAGGGACGGCUAACUACGUG